Molecule: long non-coding RNA, 293 nt
Organism: Nymphaea colorata (pocket water lily)
Lineage: Eukaryota; Viridiplantae; Streptophyta; Magnoliopsida; Nymphaeales; Nymphaeaceae
Exons: 3
Source: RefSeq, a predicted model, not a curated record
CGUCUAGCUGUUGGCAUCAUGGUCUCAGGAUUUGCCUUCGAAGAGGAUGAUUUCUUAAGACCAUGGGAAGGUCAAAGGGGAUGCUUGGAGAGAUAUGCUUUGCAAUGGGAAUCAAAAAACUUGAUUGCAGUAAGCACUGCGAUACAGGAUUGGCUGACUUCAAGCCUGACAACAGAAUUGAUGAGACAAGGUGCCAUGUUGACAGUGUUAGGUAGCCUUGUUGCUGCAUUAGCCUAGCCAUCCACAUUACUAGCAGCAACAAAUUUUAUAGAUAGCAAAUGGGCUACUGCUGU